RNAcentral lists this small RNA (97 nucleotides) under Klebsiella pneumoniae. RNAcentral describes it as "partial RtT sRNA". It matches the Rfam family "RtT RNA", at positions 36 to 130 of the family's 130-position model. Rfam says of the family: This family represents a bacterial cis-regulatory element known as RtT RNA. The record is from RNAcentral. Lineage: Bacteria; Pseudomonadati; Pseudomonadota; Gammaproteobacteria; Enterobacterales; Enterobacteriaceae.
CUAAGGUUCGACUCGAGCGAAGCGAGAGAACGUUGCCGCAGGCAACGGCCCGAAGGGCGAGGAGCGAUAGCGACGAGUUAUCCUUCCCCCACCACCA